RNAcentral lists this ribosomal RNA (253 nucleotides) under uncultured bacterium. Its description in RNAcentral is "partial 16S ribosomal RNA". It matches the Rfam family "Bacterial small subunit ribosomal RNA", at positions 524 to 776 of the family's 1533-position model. The record is from RNAcentral.
UACGUAGGGGGCAAGCGUUGUCCGGAAUCAUUGGGCGUAAAGCGCGCGUAGGCGGUCCGGUAAGUCUGCUGUGAAAGUCGGGGGCUCAACCCUCGGAUGCCGGUGGAUACUGUCGGGCUUGAGUGCGGAAGAGGCGAGUGGAAUUCCUGGUGUAGCGGUGAAAUGCGCAGAUAUCAGGAGGAACACCAAUUGCGAAGGCAGCUCGCUGGGACGUUACUGACGCUGAUGCGCGAAAGCGUGGGGAGCAAACAGG